Molecule: ribosomal RNA, 516 nt
Filed under: uncultured bacterium
Lineage: Bacteria
Description: partial 16S ribosomal RNA
Rfam family: Bacterial small subunit ribosomal RNA
Source: RNAcentral
GACGAACGCUGGCGGCGUGCCUAACACAUGCAAGUCGAACGGAGUAAGUAGCAAUACUUACUUAGUGGCGAACGGGUGAGUAACGCGUAGACAACCUGCCUCUAACUUGGGGACAACACCGCGAAAGUGGUGCUAAUACCGAAUGUGGUAACUUGGUCGCAUGACUGAGUUAAGCAAGAUGGCCUCUACCUGUAAGCUAUCGAUUAGAGAUGGGUCUGCGUCUGAUUAGCUAGUUGGUGAGGUAAUGGCGCACCGAGGCGACGAUCAGUAGCCGGUCUGAGAGGAUGAGCGGCCACACUGGGACUGAGACACGGCCCAGACUCCUACGGGAGGCAGCAGUGGGGAAUCUUCCGCAAUGGACGAAAGUCUGACGGAGCAACGCCGGGUGAGUGAAGAAGGUUUUCGGAUCGUAAAGCUCUGUCGUGUGGGACGAACGUAUCUUGUGUGAAUAAUGCAAGGUAAUGACGGUACCAAAGGAGGAAGCCACGGCUAACUACGUGCCAGCCGCCGCCGUAA